CCAAUAGCGUAUAUUAAAGUUGUUGCAGUUAAAAAGCUCGUAGUUGAAUUUCGGGGUCAGUAGGUUGGUCGUGCCACUGGUAUGCACUGGUCUCACUGAUUCCUCCUUCCUGAUGAGCCGUAAUGCCAUUAAUUUGGUGUUGCGGGGAAUCUGGACUGUUACUUUGAAAAAAUUAGCUUGUUUAAAGCAGGCUAACGCUUGAAUACAUUAGCACGGAAUCAUGAGAUAGGACUAUCGAUCCUAUUUUGUUGGUUUCUAGGAUUGACGUAAUGAUUAAUAGGGAUAGUUGGGGGCAUUAGUAUUCAAUUGUCAGAGGUGAAAUUCUUGGAUUUAUUGAAGACUAACUACUGCGAAAGCAUUUGCCAAGGAUGUUUUCAUUAAUCAAGAACGAAAGUUAGGGGAUCGAAGACGAUCAGAUACCGUCGUAGUCUUAACCAUAAACUAUGCCGACUAGGGAUCGGAUGAUGUUAAUUUUUUAAUGACUCAUUCGGCGCCUUACG
This 500-nucleotide ribosomal RNA is filed under the name uncultured Glomeromycotina. RNAcentral's name for it is "partial small subunit ribosomal RNA". It matches the Rfam family "Eukaryotic small subunit ribosomal RNA", at positions 591 to 1092 of the family's 1831-position model. The record is from RNAcentral. Lineage: Eukaryota; Fungi; Glomeromycota.